This 1477-nucleotide long non-coding RNA is filed under the name Equus caballus (horse). RNAcentral describes it as "lncRNA (ENSECAG00000042103.2)". Lineage: Eukaryota; Metazoa; Chordata; Mammalia; Perissodactyla; Equidae. The record is from RNAcentral.
AGCUCAGGGCUAAUCUUCCUCACGGAAAAAAAAAAAAGUCCAAGAUUAAAAAUGAAUAGUUUUCACAGUGGAAGGGCCUAGCCAGCCAGAUGAAUAAAGAUUGACACCAAUGUAUGUGAUAAUGAAUGUUCAGAGCACCAAAGAUAAACCGAAGUAUAUAAAGGGUUCAGAGAGAAACAAACCAACUAAAAAUCAACAAAUAAUAAAAAUAGCAUCAUCGAAAAGGAUAAGGGGUAAAAAUGCCAUUGAGCAUCUUGAUAGUAAUGCUAGAAGUCAGAAGCAAUGUGAACAAGGUCUUCAAAAUUGUGAAAGAAAAUUAUUUUUAGCUAGAAUUCUAUCUUGAGUCAAAUUCUAAAUCUAAAAUGAGGGUAGAAUAAAGCCAUAUUCAGAUAUGCAGCAUUUUAAUAAAUUGAUCUUCCAUCCAUUUAUACUGGAAAGCCACUGGGAAAUGUUACAUACCAAAUGUGCUGUAAAUAAGAAAAAAAAAGGACAUAAAUAUCAUGAAACAAUGGAAAUUUGUGAGAGCCAGGAAAUAUUUAAAGAAGGGGCUUUAGAGAAUUCCAUGGAUUAAGGGGUGUGCCAAGAUGCUUGAUGUACAGAAGACAGAGUGGGCAAACAUUCCAAACUCAGAAGGACAGAGGGUUCCACAGCGGAUGCAGAGGCAACAGAGGUAGGGAGAGGGCCAAUGGCUGAUGAUGAUGCGAUGUGCUCAACCCAUGCUGAAGUUUCAGAGCUGCGAAAUGUUGCUACGCUUUUUUCCAAACAACAAAUAUAAUGACUGAGCACUCCUAACAAGGGAAUAUUAAGGAAGUUUCUGAAAGAGAGGAAUAACAAGUAAAAAAAAAAAAGAGCUAUGGAAAAAUAAUCAAGCUUCCUGUGCAGAAGGAAAAAAGUCUACUCAGAGGAAGUACUGAGUAGUAAAUUAUAAAACAAUUGUCAUAGCAUACUCUGGCUUGAUGUGGGCUGGUGUUAAAUACAAUGACCCACUUAAAAGAGACAGGUAUGUGAUGUUGGGUCUUCCAUGGGAAAUUGUUCAUCAGCCUCAGAUGGAUAUCUGAGGAAUACCACACUGCAGUCUGUCAAAGGUGAUGUGGGAAAUCUUAGAGCCUAAAGUUGGUAUCUCAUCAUCCAGGACCUGUCCACAUGGACCUCUCCAUUUACAGAGUAGUCUGGAUUUCCUGCAUGACGUUUCAAAGCUCCAAGAGUGAAGAAAAGGAAGCUACUUUAAUGCUUUCCUUAAUGCCUGGACUCAGAACUUCUAAAACACCACUUCUUCUGCAUUCUAUUUGUCCAGUUAGUCACAAUUCUAGCCUGGAUUAAAGUGGAAAGAUAUAUGUUCCACCUCCUGUAUCACUGGCAAACUGCAGGGGGCAGAAGUUUUGAGACUCUCCACCCUCUGGCUGGGAGGAGUGUGGGCUGAAUGAAUGACAUCAUAACUUUGCCUUGAAAAGAUGAAACCCAAAAAGCUGGAAAACAG